Long non-coding RNA from Gasterosteus aculeatus aculeatus (three-spined stickleback), 1032 nucleotides. Lineage: Eukaryota; Metazoa; Chordata; Actinopteri; Perciformes; Gasterosteidae. The record is from Ensembl.
UCAGUUCUGUUUCCUUGGCUGAGCCGAUGCAAGUCCCGAUGCGUGGCCACGAGAAAAUGAACGAAUCUUUUUUUGAGAGGACUCGUUACUCUCGAGUCCUCGUAAGGAUUCGCUCAAAAUGAACGAAUCGUUCACGAACGACACAUCACUAACGGCCAUCACUGGAACACCUGCGGCCCAUUCGGGCAGGUGCCCCCGUUAAAUGUUCAGUUUUCAAGUUAUUCAGAGCACUACACUUUAUUUUUAUUUAACACAAGGAUAAUACAUAUAGACUGUAAAACCUACCAGCUCAUCUUAAUAAAAGAGUUUCCAGUUGCCGAGGGAGCUGGCGCAGAUUUGUGGCUAACAGGCAGCUUCAAGGCUGCGUCGAGGCAAAGGGAAGAGAGGUCGUAAGACAGUGCCCCUUUCCUUGGUGAAUUUGGUCCGGCCGCCCCUCUGCCUGUCCUCCACGUCCCCUGGAUGUCCGGUUACCCCGGCGACUACGUGCCGCGUCCAAACAUCCUGCUCAACGUGCCGGGGUUUCACCCCGUGCCCGCUGGGCUUUACAGCUACGGCCCCCGCGGGCCCCCGGCGUUCCUCCACUACCCGCCUCCACCGCGGCCUGGGGCCGCUGCUGUGAUCCUCUGUGCACGCCGUAGGCCACCUCUAUUUAGCGUGAUUAAAAAAUAAUAUGCAUCCAUUUGUUGAAUACAUCAGGAUUGCAGACUGAUCUUCUUCGUCCUUCUGCCACGCCCAGAGCCGCCCCGGGAGCCGCCGCCGCCGCCGCCUCCCUCCGAACACACUGAGCCAGACGUGGAAGUGGAUUAAAGCAGCCAGCUGGUUCACAGUUUGUUAUCGAAUCUGUUCGUUUUCCCCUUCUGUUUUGUACCGAUGACAGUUCUGUUCACACUGAUGGCAUAAAUGUUUCUGCACAGUUUGUUUGUGCAAUAUAUCGAUAUUAAAUAAGGCUUUGACAUUAAAAAAAUAAGUCCGUUAUGGUUCUUAUUUUGUAUGUGUUAUUUUACUCCACAAAGAAAAAUAAAAUAUCUUUUC